Molecule: ribosomal RNA, 445 nt
Filed under: uncultured bacterium
Lineage: Bacteria
Description: bacterial SSU rRNA
Rfam family: Bacterial small subunit ribosomal RNA
Source: RNAcentral
CCAGACUCCUACGGGAGGCAGCAGUGGGGGAUAUUGCACAAUGGGGGCAACCCUGAUGCAGCGACGCCGCGUGAGCGAUGGAGUACUUCGGUAUGUAAAGCUCUGUCAGCAGGGAAGAGAAUGACGGUACCUGACUAAGAAGCCCCGGCUAACUACGUGCCAGCAGCCGCGGUAAUACGUAGGGGGCAAGCGUUAUCCGGAUUUACUGGGUGUAAAGGGAGCGUAGACGGCAUGGCAAGCCAGAUGUGAAAUACCGGGGCUCAACCCCGGGACUGCAUUUGGAACUGUUAAGCUGGAGUGUCGGAGAGGCAGGCGGAAUUCCUAGUGUAGCGGUGAAAUGCGUAGAUAUUAGGAGGAACACCAGUGGCGAAGGCGGCCUGCUGGACGAUAACUGACGUUGAGGCUCGAAAGCGUGGGGAGCAAACAGGAUUAGAUACCCUCGUAA